AGCCUUUUGAACCUAUGUCAAGAUUUCGUCACACACCAGACCACAAGGGCUGAUGAGACUCCCAUGAUAAGUGAAGCG
Molecule: microRNA precursor, 78 nt
Filed under: Schistosoma mansoni
Lineage: Eukaryota; Metazoa; Platyhelminthes; Trematoda; Strigeidida; Schistosomatidae
Description: mir-3492 microRNA precursor family
Rfam family: mir-3492 microRNA precursor family
Source: Rfam by way of RNAcentral